UGGGGAAUUUUGGACAAUGGGGGAAACCCUGAUCCAGCCAUCCCGCGUGUGCGAUGAAGGCCUUCGGGUUGUAAAGCACUUUUGGCAGGAAAGAAACGUCAUGGGUUAAUACCCCGUGAAACUGACGGUACCUGCAGAAUAAGCACCGGCUAACUACGUGCCAGCAGCCGCGGUAAUACGUAGGGUGCAAGCGUUAAUCGGAAUUACUGGGCGUAAAGCGUGCGCAGGCGGUUCGGAAAGAAAGAUGUGAAAUCCCAGAGCUCAACUUUGGAACUGCAUUUUUCACUACCGGGCUAGAGUGUGUCCGAGUGAGGUGGCAUUCCGCGUGUAGCAGUGAAAUGCGUAGAUAUGCGGAGGAACACCGAUGGCGACGGCAGCCUCCUGGGAUAACACUGACGCUCAUGCACGAAAGCGUGGGGAGCAAACAGG
RNAcentral lists this ribosomal RNA (429 nucleotides) under Acidobacteriota bacterium. Its description in RNAcentral is "Acidobacteria bacterium partial 16S ribosomal RNA". It matches the Rfam family "Bacterial small subunit ribosomal RNA", at positions 355 to 776 of the family's 1533-position model. Lineage: Bacteria; Pseudomonadati; Acidobacteriota. The record is from RNAcentral.